GAUGAACGCUGGCGGCGUGCCUAAUACAUGCAAGUCGAGCGAACAGACGAGUAGCUUGCUCCUCUGACGUUAGCGGCGUACGGGUGAGUAACACGUGGAUAACCUACCUAUAAGACUGGGAUAACUUCGGGAAACCGGUGCUAAUACCGGAUAAUAUAUUGAACCGCAUGGUUCAAUAGUUAAAGCCGGUUUUGCUGUCACUUCUAGAUGUAUCCGGGCCGCAUUAGCUAGUUGGUAAGGUAACGGCUUACCAAGGCAACGAUGCGUAGACGACCUGAGAGGGGGAUAGGCGACACUGGAACUGAGACACGGACAAGACUCCUAAGGGAGGCAGCAGAAGGGAAUCGUAGGCAAUGGGCGAAAGCAUGACGGAGCAAGGCCGAGUGAGUGAUGAAGGUCUUCGGAUCGUAAAACUCUGUUAUGAGGGAAGAACAAAUGUGUAAGUAACUAUGCACGUCUUGACGGUACCUAAUCAGAAAGCCACGGCUAACUACGUG
Molecule: ribosomal RNA, 497 nt
Filed under: uncultured bacterium
Lineage: Bacteria
Description: partial 16S ribosomal RNA
Rfam family: Bacterial small subunit ribosomal RNA
Source: RNAcentral